CAUCCGGAACUGUCAAGCUAGAGUGCAGGAGAGGAAGGUAGAAUUCCCGGUGUAGCGGUGAAAUGCGUAGAGAUCGGGAGGAAUACCAGUGGCGAAGGCGGCUUCUGGACUGACACUGACACUGAGGUGCGAAAGCGUGGGUAGCAAACAGGAUUAGAUACCCUGGUAGUCCACGCCGUAAACGAUGUCGACCAGCCGUUGGGUGCCUAGCGCACUUUGUGGCGAAGUUAACGCGAUAAGUCGACCGCCUGGGGAGUACGGCCGCAAGGUUAAAACUCAAAUGAAUUGACGGGGGCCCGCACAAGCGGUGGAGCAUGUGGUUUAAUUCGAUGCAACGCGAAGAACCUUACCUACUCUUGACAUCCUGCGAAUUUGGUAGAGAUACCUUAGUGCCUUCGGGAACGCAGAGACAGGUGCUGCAUGGCUGUCGUCAGCUCGUGUUGUGAAAUGUUGGGUUAAGUCCCGUAACGAGCGCAACCCUUGUCCUUAUUUGCCAGCGCGUAAUGGCGGGAACUCUAAGGAGACUGCCGGUGACAAACCGGAGGAAGGUGGGGACGACGUCAAGUCAUCAUGGCCCUUACGAGUAGGGCUACACACGUGCUACAAUGGUCGGUACAAAGGGUUGCCAACUCGCGAGAGUGAGCCAAUCCCGAAAAGCCGAUCUCAGUCCGGAUCGGAGUCUGCAACUCGACUCCGUGAAGUCGGAAUCGCUAGUAAUCGUGGAUCAGAAUGCCACGGUGAAUACGUUCCCGGGCCUUGUACACACCGCCCGUCACACCAUGGGAGUGGACUGCACCAGAAGUGGUUAGCCUAACGCAAGAGGGCGAUCACCACGGUGUGGUUCAUGACUGGGGUGAAGUCAUAACAAGGUAGCCGUA
This 878-nucleotide ribosomal RNA is filed under the name uncultured bacterium. RNAcentral describes it as "bacterial SSU rRNA". It matches the Rfam family "Bacterial small subunit ribosomal RNA", at positions 624 to 1504 of the family's 1533-position model. The record is from RNAcentral.